UCUUGUGAAGAGAGGACGUAUACGAUGUCUGAAGGAUAUAAACUUGGUGAUUUAGUAUGGGCGAAGAUGAAGGGGUUCAGCCCCUGGCCCGGUCGGGUAGCGAUUCCUACGCCCGAGUUGAAGCCGCCGAAAAAGGCGAGCAAUGUCCAAUGCAUUUACUUCUUCGGCAGUAAUAACUAUGCCUGGAUCGAAGACAGCAACAUCAAGCCGUACCAGGAGUUCAAGGACCAGCUUAUCAAGUCCUGCAAGACUGCCGCCUUGAAGGAUGCUGUGGCCCAGAUCGAGGAGUAUAUCGUCAACCCUGAGAAAUUUGGUGAUCUGGACGACCACGCUCGCUCUGCGGAGGAGGAGUUUGACAAAUUGAAGGAUGUCCUCGACAAAGAAGACGAUGAGGAGGGAGAGGACAAGGAGGAGUCGUCUCCGGAGGUCAAGAAGAAGACCGGCACUCCUAAGAUACGUUUGUCAAAGGUGAAGUCGGUGAAGCGUUCUUCAUCGUCCGGGAUGAAGGGGACCCCUCGCAAGAAGGCCAAGAGCAGUCUCUCCCGCUCGUACGACUCUGACAUGGCUAAUGAUAAGCCAUCGAUGCUGAACCAUUCAUUCUCCAAGAAGUCAAGCUUGCUGCAUCGCCCCUCUAACAUUCUCAGACCUGACACUCCCCCCCUAGAUUUGGAGAACGUCUCCGAGACGCUCCGCGAGAAGAAGAUCCAGGCUAGCCAGAUGAAGUUCGGCUUCCUCGGCCUGGGCAUCAUGGGCAGCGGGAUCGUCAAGAACUUGCUCAACUCCGGCCACAAGGUGCUCGUCUGGAACCGCACUGGCGCUAAGUGCAAAGAUUUCGAGAAGGUGGGCGCCACACUGGCAGUGACACCAUGCGACGUGGUGGAGGAGGCUGAUAUCACCUUCUCCUGUGUCGCGGACCCACAGGCUGCUAAAGAGAUGGUGUUCGGCAACUGCGGCGUGCUGCAUUGCCCAUCCCUAGAGGGCAAGGGUUACGUGGAGAUGACGUCCAUCGACGCAGACACAUCCCACGAUAUCGUCGAGGCCAUCAGCGGCAAAGGCGGCCGCUACCUCGAGGCACAGAUCCAAGGCUCCAAGACUCAAGCGGAGGAAGGCACGCUGAUCAUCCUGGCGGCUGGCGACCGCUCGCUGUUCGACGACUGCCAGAGCUGCUUUAAGGCGAUGAGCAAGAACUCCUUUUACCUCGGUAGCGACAUCGGCAACGCGUCGAAGAUGAACGCGGUGCUGCAGGUGCUGGGCGGCGUGUCGCUGGCGGCGCUGGCCGAGGGGCUGGCGCUGGCCGACCGCGCCGGCCUCAACCAGGCCGACCUGCUCGACGUGCUGGCGCUCACGCCGCUCGCCUCGCCGCACCUCAUACUCAAGGGCCGCGCGAUGAUCGAGUCGGCGUACUCGACACACCAGCCGCUCACCCACAUGCAGAAGGACCUCAAGCUGGCGCUCGGCCUCGGCGACGCCCUCGAGCAGUCCCUGCCCCUCACGGCCACUACCAACGAAAUCUUCAAACACGCCAAGCGAUUGGGAUACGCGAACCACGACGUCUCCGCAGUCUAUAUUAGAGCCAGAUUCUGAAUAUGAGGUUCCCCAACCUCGUAUUCAGUAUCUGGCUCUAAUGGCAACGCUAAAUCCUUUGCUAAGUAACUGUGUUUCCACUGAAGCGGAACGGAGCGGAGACGCGGAGGUGUGCAGGAAUCGACCAAUUACCGAGAAGUUACAAUUCGGUUUCAACACUGAAUUGCGAAUAUAGAAAGUAAGAAUAUAUUUUAAAGGACGUCACAGAAUAAUACCAAAACAUCAGUCUUAAAAACGCACAUAUAAUACAUACAUAUAUAAAAACGUACACAGAAUGACAAUUAAAAAAGAAAAACAAUGAUGCGGGUCGGAAUGAUCAUGGACAAUCUCAAUAGUAAUAUCUAAAGAUUGAUUUUGUAAUUCCUGAUAUUAUGGCACCUGACCUAAUCGACCGUCCGUUAUGGAUCGGACAUGUCAAAUCUUCAGGUUAGAUAAGCGGACUCUGUGAAAAACGGGAUGAUGCUAGAUGAGGAACACGAUGGUGAUUAUGGGACCAUUCAGUAUUGUCGCAUUUUUUUUUCGAAUCGAUGGCAGACUAUAGUACCCUCCCAGUAUUUGGCUACGGAAAUAGCAUUGUCAGUAGCCAGCAUCAAGUCCUCCCGCGUGCAGGUGGCAGGGGAACAAGGACAAGACAUGAGGUCGCACUUCUAAAAUUCACUCACUGUUUAACAAGAUCAAAAUAAAACACAUCAAAGUGUCGAAACUGUAGCUUCACCGCGAGAGCGACAGAGCGUCUUCUCUCUCACUCUCGUUAGCUGUGAUUGGUCGGUUCCGCACGUCUCCGCUCCGCUCCGCACCGCUCCGCACCGCUCCGCUUCACUGGAAACACAGUCUUAGCGAAGCAUUUGUCGGUGCUAUAUAGAGAGAACUGUAGGUCAAGAAGAAUUUCAGUAUACUGUACCCUCGACCGUAGAUUGUCGUCUCAGCAUUUCUAUUAAGAGAGUUUAGGAAAUGCUUCCUGCGUCUUUUUUGUUUCAGCUAACCCGCAGUAGUCACACCCGUAACACCUAAAGGGGUAGACGGAGUCACAAAUCAACAAUAAGAUAACCGGCAGCCACCUCUCAUAGUCGCUCUAAAAACUGCACGGUGACAAAUUACAAUAUUAAACCAUUUAUUUGAGGCUACAUAUGCCUAUACAAUAAAUAAUAUACUCCUUUUUUGAAGUCGCUUAAAAAACCACUUAAAAUGAAAAACCUAUUAUCCGCUCCUAUUAUCAACCCAUCGCUCAAAUAUAAUAAGUAUAGCAUUAUGUUAUGAAGGACAUUUUUUUUAAGGAAGAUAGGGAUAGUAGCUAUUGGUGUCGAUUCGCGUAAUCACCAACUUAAUUUUAACUUGACAGGACUAAACUAGCUGCAUCUUUUUCUUGCGCGUAUUGUAAGUGAAGGACGGCACUAAUUGAAGAGCUGUGUCAGCACUAAGGUUGAGUUUGUGUCCGCCCGAAUAGGCACCAACGAAUAGUACUAACUCUAGCUGUGAGCCUUGGUAUCCCAGUUAAUAGAAUGCUUGCCCCUCAAUUUGGCUAGUAGGGUUGAAUCUAGCACAAGCCUAAACCAAUGACUGUCGAAUUUGUUUUUCGUAUUCGUGUUUGGAUCAUAAAUGAUUAUCACGUGCUUAGUGGUGAAGGAAAACAUCGUGAGGAAACCCACAUUAAAGAGAAAUGCAUUUUCGGAGGUAUGUGACCUAACCUGUAUUGGGUUUUCUCUUCGUAGGUUGGAAGGUCAGACAGGCAGUCGCUUCUGUAGAAAACCGGACCUGUCAAAUCUUUAGGUUAGGUAAGCGGACCCUGUGAAAAACGGGAUAAUGCUAGGGAGAUGAUUAU
Molecule: unclassified non-coding RNA, 3403 nt
Filed under: Pectinophora gossypiella (pink bollworm)
Lineage: Eukaryota; Metazoa; Arthropoda; Insecta; Lepidoptera; Gelechiidae
Description: putative oxidoreductase GLYR1 homolog
Source: RNAcentral